Molecule: unclassified non-coding RNA, 139 nt
Filed under: Sawadaea tulasnei
Lineage: Eukaryota; Fungi; Ascomycota; Leotiomycetes; Helotiales; Erysiphaceae
Description: sequence contains ITS2
Source: RNAcentral
CAACCCCUCAAGCCUGGCUUGGUCCUGGGGCUCGCCCGCUGGGCGGCCCUUAAACACAGUGGCGGCGCCGUCGUGCUCUACGCGUAGUAAUUCUUCUCGCGACAGGGCGCUGACGGGGCCUGCCGAAGCUCCUUCUCUC